Molecule: RNA transcript, 1402 nt
Organism: Nycticebus coucang (slow loris)
Lineage: Eukaryota; Metazoa; Chordata; Mammalia; Primates; Lorisidae
Gene name: 60S ribosomal protein L4-like
Exons: 1
Source: RefSeq, a predicted model, not a curated record
GGGUAGGGAGGAGCAUGGCCUCCUCCUCUCCCCAUUAUGGCUUGUGCUUGACUAUAGAUAUCAGUGUACUCCGAAAAAGAGGAGUCAUCUGGCAAAAACAUCACUUUGCCUGCUGUCUUCAAGGUUCCCAUUAGAUCAGAAAUUGUGAAUUUUGUUCAUACCAACUUGUGUAAAAACAACAAACAAUCUUAUGUCAUCAGUGAUUUAGGAGGUCAUCAGACCAUCAGACCAGUGCUGAGUCUUGGGGUAUUGGCAGAGCUGUGGCUAGAGUUCUCAGAGUUCGAGGUGGUAGGACUCACCAUUCUGGCCAGGGUGCUUUUGGAAAUAUGUGUCAUGGAGGCUGCAUGUUUGCACCAACCAAAACCUGGUGUCACUGGCACCAUAGAGUGAACACAACCUAAAAGCUAUAUGCCAUCUGCCCUGCCCUGGCCACCUCAGUCUUACCGGUGCUGGUCACAUCUAAAGAUCGUCAUAUUGAGGAAGAUCCUGAACUUUCUUUGGUGGUUAAAGAUAAAGUUGAAGGCUCUGUGAAGACCAAGGAGGCUGUUUUACUUCUCAAGAAACUUGAGGGCUGGAAUGACGUCUAUGCCUCUCAGGGAGCGAGGGCUGGUAAGGGCAAAUGAGAAACCGUCGUGGUAUCCAGCACAGUAGACCCUGCACCAUCUAUAAUGAAGAUGGUGUAUCAUCAAGGCUUUCAGGAACAUCCUUGGAAUUACUCUGCUUAAUGCAAACUGGAUGAACAUUUUUGAAACUUGCUUCUGGUGGGCAUGUGGGACUUUUCUGCAUUUGGAUUGAAAGUGCUUUGUGGAAGUUAGAUGAAUUGCAAAGCACUUGGCAUAAUGCUGCUUCUCUCAGGAGUAACUACAACGUUCCCAAGCACAAGGUGAUGAGUGCAGGCCUUAGCAGAAUCUUGGAAACCCCAGAGAUCCAAAGAGCUCUUCGAGCACCACACAAAAAGAUACACGGCAGAGCCCUGAAGAAGAAUCCAUUGAAAAACCCGAGAAUCAUGUUGAAGCUAAACCCGUAUGCAAAGACCAUGUGCCAGAAUACCAUUCUUCUCCAGGCCAGGAAUCCCACACGUUCGCGGAUAGGGCAGCUGCAGCACCCUAGGCCACGUCGGACAAGAAGGGGGUUGCAGGCAAGAAGCCUGAAGCAGUGAAGACGGGGAAAGCCUGUUGGUGUAAAGCAGAAAAAGCCUCUGGUGGGAAAAAAGGCUGCCUCUACCAAGAAACCAGCAGCUGAAAAGAAGCCAGCCGAAAAGAAAUCUACCACAGAGGAAAAGAAGCCUGCUCCAUAAACUCUUACAUUUGUUUACUGCAUAAAGGUCAAAUCAUUUUGGACAGCUUGUUUUGAAAAAAGACCUGAUCAAAGAGAAAAAAAAAAAAAAAGACAAAAAAAAAAA